This 497-nucleotide ribosomal RNA is filed under the name uncultured bacterium. RNAcentral's name for it is "partial 16S ribosomal RNA". It matches the Rfam family "Bacterial small subunit ribosomal RNA", at positions 28 to 507 of the family's 1533-position model. The record is from RNAcentral.
GAUGAACGCUGGCGGCGUGCCUAAUACAUGCAAGUCGAGCGAACAGACGAGGAGCUUGCUCCUCUGACGUUAGCGGCGGACGGGUGAGUAACACGUGGAUAACCUACCUAUAAGACUGGGAUAACUUCAGGAAACCGGAGCUAAUACCGGAUAACAUGUUGAACCGCAUGGUUCAACAGUGAAAGACGGUCUUGCUGUCACUUAUAGAUGGAUCCGCGCCGCAUUAGCUAGUUGGUAAGGUAACGGCUUACCAAGGCAACGAUGCGUAGCCGACCUGAGAGGGUGAUCGGCCACACUGGAACUGAGACACGGUCCAGACUCCUACGGGAGGCAGCAGUAGGGAAUCUUCCGCAAUGGGCGAAAGCCUGACGGAGCAACGCCGCGUGAGUGAAGAAGGUCUUCGGAUCGUAAAACUCUGUUAUUAGGGAAGAACAAAUGUGUAAGUAACUAUGCACGUCUUGACGGUACCUAAUCAGAAAGCCACGGCUAACUACGUG